CAAAGGUUUGGUCCUAGCCUUUUUAUUAACUCUUAGUAAACUUACACAUGCAAAUAUCCUUAUCCCAGUGAGAAUGCCCUCUAGAUCAAUACGAUCAAAAGGAGCAGGUAUCAAGCCCACUACUCNNAGUUGCUCACAACACCUUGCUUAACCACACCCCCACGGGAUACAGCAGUGAUUAAGAUUAAGCCNAUGAACGAAAGUUCGACUAAGUUAUACUACUUCAGGGUUGGUAAAUUUCGUGCCAGCCACCGCGGUCAUACGAUUAACCCCAGUUAAUAAAAUACGGCGUAAAGCGUGAUUAAAAUAUCAAAUCCAAUAAGACUAAGCCUAAACUAAGCUGUAAAAAGCCCUAGUUAUAGAAAAAAUAAAUAAACGAAAGUAGUCUUAAAAUUUUUGAACUCACGAUAGCUAAGACCCAAACUGGGAUUAGAUACCCCACUAUGCUUAGCCCUAAACAUAAACAUUCUACUAACAAGACUGUUCGCCAGAGUACUACUAGCCAUAGCUAAAAACUCAAAGGACUUGGCGGUGCUUUAUAUCCCUCUAGAGGAGCCUGUUCUAUAAUCGAUAAACCCCGAUAUACCUCACCACCCUUAGCAAAUAUCAGCCUAUAUACCGCCAUCUUCAGCAAACCUUAAUAAAGCCUUACAGUAAGCACAAUCAUUAAGCUAUAAAUACGUUAGGUCAAGGUGUAGCCUAUAGGGUGGGAAGAAAUGGGCUACAUUUUCUAUAUACUAGAACAAUCAAUUUACGAUAGCUUUCAUGAAAUUUUAAGCCUAAGGCGGAUUUAGUAGUAAGUUAGGAAUAGAGAGCCUAACUGAAUCGGGCAAUAAAGCACGCACACACCGCCCGUCACCCUCUUCAAAUUCUAYANNNNNNNNNNNNNNNNUAGCAUGAGAAGAGAUAAGUCGUAACAAGGUAAACAUACUGGAAAGUGUGUUUGGAAUAAU
RNAcentral lists this non-coding RNA (953 nucleotides) under Prosciurillus abstrusus (secretive dwarf squirrel). The record is from RNAcentral. Lineage: Eukaryota; Metazoa; Chordata; Mammalia; Rodentia; Sciuridae.